Sus scrofa (pig) is the source of this 613-nucleotide non-coding RNA. The record is from RefSeq and is a predicted model, not a curated record. Lineage: Eukaryota; Metazoa; Chordata; Mammalia; Artiodactyla; Suidae.
ACUUUAAAUGGCACAGCUAGAAUUUGAACCCAGGUCUCAGUGACUGGAAAGCCCAUGCUCUCAUCUUCUACCUCCUAGGAAGAGCUCUUGUCCUCGAGGAAAAAAUCUCUCCUGUACUGUCUCCCAUGGCAUCCACUUAAGGGUACUGGCAGUAGUGACUACCAACACCUUGGCAGAGUGUGUAUGACUUUGGCUGGAUGCAGCUGUGACUAGUUGGCAGUAAAGAAGCAAUUGAAGACCACUGGGCAGCUACAGUAGCAACAAGAUGACCUCUACUUUUUGUGCCAGAGACCUUGACCUUCAAUUACUUACUGUUAAGAAUCCUGGUGAUGCAGCUGUAUGACAAGUCAUUUGCUUCUGAGAAGAAAAGGCUGUGGCCAGCCUGUGAGGCAACAGCACUAAAAAGGAAAUGAAAUCGCAAAAUAAAAGAUCAGUCUUUAUAUAAAAGCAAUUUAGAAACUAUUGCUAGUGACACAAAUAGACCAUAUAUCAUCUCUAUACAUUAAAGGUACUGUAUAUUUAAUCCAAGAAAGAUAAACCUAACAGGCAAAGAUGCAUCUUGGGAGUUCCUGUUGUGGCUCAGUGGUAAUGAACCAACUAAUAUCCAUGAGGA